This 1295-nucleotide ribosomal RNA is filed under the name Triticum aestivum (bread wheat). RNAcentral's name for it is "partial small subunit ribosomal RNA". The record is from RNAcentral. Lineage: Eukaryota; Viridiplantae; Streptophyta; Magnoliopsida; Poales; Poaceae.
UAAAGUAUAUGUAUUAAAACCGUAACUUAAUAUGGUAAGCAACUCAAUACGGGUAGAUAAGAACGAUUCAAAUCAACUUAUAAACGUACUUUUAGUAUAUUACUUAGUAAAUGAUCAGUAACACAAAGAAAACGUCUUUUCACGCUGUUCCGUGAUAUUAGAUGUUCAAAGACAGAUCUUUCUUAACUCCUUGUUCUAGUGCCCGUUCUUCUCUUCUUUCUCCCUGAGUUCGAACUUCUUCUAAUUUCGAAUCCCCCCGAUCGAAUUCUUCACCUCCCUAGUAGAACACGGUUUUCUUCCUUCUUCCUCCCGGUUUCACUUUUGUAAGUCUAGACUAGCCUCCCCUAGUUUUAGGGAUCGUCGGAGGUAAGGGUUUGGCCCGGACCGUAGAGGUAGAGAGAGGGAGUGGGGAGGAAGAGGUGGAGGCCGGCGGCGGUGCCGGUCCGGCCGCACCACCACGCGGAGGCGGUGGGUAGGUCGGUAGGUAGUGGUCGUGGUGGCGUGGGGUCGCGCGGUGAUUGCGGAGGUAGGUGGUGGACGCGGUAGGUAAGUGGUGGUGUGGAGCGCGCUGGAGAGGGAGGUCGGCCGCGCGGAGAGGGACGACGAAAGGGUUAAAGAAGAAGGGGACGACAAGGAGAAGGAGAGAGGAACGCGGGGGAACGACGACUAGAAGAGGUGAAUGACGACGAGAUGAAGGAACGGAGGAAACGACGACGAGGAGAGAGGUCGCGGGGUAAGACGAAGAGGAGAACGACGACGACGGGGGUUGGAGGACGACGAUAGAGAGAUAUGAAGGGGACGAUGGGAAGAAGAGACUUGGAUGGAUGACGAAGAGAGAGAGAGAGACUUUAUAGACACGUUAACUCUACAAACUCCGAAACAUUCCAAGUCUGAAACAUUUUAAGUCUUAACUCUACACAUACCACACAUUACAAGUCUAAACUGAUCACGUUCGUAGAACAAUAAACAAGUCAAACCAUGACCAUAUUAUAUCAUGAACAAUACAACCUAGACUGAUCAACUCCGGAACAAUUAAACCGUCUAAUAACUAGAUAAUCUUAAACGAAGACACUUAAUCAUAAGACGAUCGUAUACUUACACAAGUGGGGAACACACAAACAGGGAAUGACUUUAAAUAAGGCAACAGGUACACAAUCGAGGUCAUGUACACGAUAUAUUUAUGUACACACAAACACUACAUUUGGUAGAUAUAACACAGAAUAUUAGAACAAAGAAGGUAGAGAAUGUACAAUCUAUCAGUAAACACAAGUGAAGGGAAAAUAGCUAUUACAGGC